This 78-nucleotide small nucleolar RNA is filed under the name Nomascus leucogenys (northern white-cheeked gibbon). Its description in RNAcentral is "Small nucleolar RNA U3". It matches the Rfam family "Small nucleolar RNA U3", at positions 1 to 82 of the family's 219-position model. Rfam says of the family: Small nucleolar RNAs (snoRNAs) are involved in the processing and modification of rRNA in the nucleolus. There are two main classes of snoRNAs: the box C/D class, and the box H/ACA class. Lineage: Eukaryota; Metazoa; Chordata; Mammalia; Primates; Hylobatidae. The record is from Rfam by way of RNAcentral.
AAGAUUAUAUUUUCAGGGAUCAUUUCUAUAGUUUGUCACUAGGGAAGUUUCUCUGAAUGUGAAUUCCACCACAUUGGA